This 1443-nucleotide long non-coding RNA is filed under the name Fragaria vesca (wild strawberry). Its description in RNAcentral is "long non-coding RNA (FVES_LNC003634)". The record is from RNAcentral. Lineage: Eukaryota; Viridiplantae; Streptophyta; Magnoliopsida; Rosales; Rosaceae.
UGAAAGAGAGAGAGAGAGAGAGAGAGAGAGAGAGAGAGAGAGAGAGAGUAGAGGGAUAAUUGGGCAAUAUGAAAAACUGCAGGUGUUGUUAAUAUGACCUGAAAUGUAUUUUUCCUAGCUUCUUCCAGGUGAACAAUUUCUUCUUCCAGCAGGAUAUCCAUUUCUGUCAGCAUGUAGGCAGAAUAUUUACAUAAAGUUUACUCCCUUUAAAUUAGCCGCUGCUAAGUAUGGGUGAGCAUGUCUUAAAGCAAAGCCCAACAAAGCAAAAUGGGAAUGUGGAUGACGAUAAGUCGAUAAUGAUACAUUUUCGAUAAAAGGAGAAAGUAGUGUUGAUAGUGAAGGUACAGAUCCAAAUGGUGAAACCCUGUCAAAAGAGAAGGUGAAUCCCUUCUUCGAAUGGAGGAUUACAAAAGAGUGAAAAGACUAACUGAAAUAAUAUUGCAAGCUUGAAUUUACUCUGUGUUGAGUCUCAACUUGGUUUUCUGAAAUCACAUUUGCAUCUGCUGCUAAAAUGAUUUUUGAUAUGGGUUUGCUCAGAAACUUUGGAGAAGAUGAAUAGUGAAAUAAUGAAAUUACCCUUUAUAAUACUAGAGUUAAUACCCGCGCGAUAUAAUAUUCACAUUAUGUAUAUUCCACAUAUGUAUAAGAGCUAUUACAAAAAUUACCUCUAUACAACAAAAUAUCUAGCUAGUCUUGUGUUUUACCUAAAAUAUAAAUGCUUCAAUUGUUUUAAUUUGUACAUAUACAAAGCAGAAGAGAAAAUGACAGAACAACCGAGUAAUAAAUUAUUAUGGUAAUAUAUUAAUAUCUCUAGACUUUUCUGUUUUGUGAGAAAUAUUGGAGCUAUUUCGAGAAGAGUCUAGAGAGUGUGAGAAAGAUGGAGAAAUGUUGGGCGAGAGAGAGAGCGAGAAGCAACGGAAAAAAGAUAUAUAUACCUAGAGUUGAAACGAAGGGUAAAAAUACGGAAUUACAUAGCCUAUCAACAGGGUAAAAAGGUCCAUAGACUGUUCACAGUGCUUAUGAACAGUUAACCAAGCAAUAGUAUAUAGGCACAAAACGGAACAAUAGUGAAAAAGAUGAAAUGAAGCGGCGAUAUUCUCUGAGAUGCAAAGACAGAGAGACGGGAGAAAUAAAAUAAAGAAGGUCUAAAGAGGCAAGAUCGAUCCGAAAGAUUCAGGAAGCAGAAGAAAAGUCAAACAUAGAGGGCAAAAAAUUCUUUGCUGAGAGAGAGCCUAUUUAGAAAAAUCUAAAUUAUCUAUUUCAAAAAACAAAACAAAAAUCACUGUUCACAUGCUUGUGAACAGUCGACUAUGCUAUAGUAUAUAGUUAAAUGUCGGCUGGAUGCUAACAGCACAAGGUACUAUCGUUGGGUCAACGUCAAAGCCUCAGGUAUCUUCUUUAUAUUUUCCAAACACGAAGUGUGUGUGUGUGCAUAUAUAUAUA